GGGUUGUGAGGUUAAGCGACUAAGCGUACACGGUGGAUGCCCUGGCAGUCAGAGGCGAUGAAGGACGUGCUAAUCUGCGAUAAGCGUCGGUAAGGUGAUAUGAACCGUUAUAACCGGCGAUUUCCGAAUGGGGAAACCCAGUGUGAUUCGUCACACUAUCAUUAACUGAAUCCAUAGGUUAAUGAGGCGAACCGGGGGAACUGAAACAUCUAAGUACCCCGAGGAAAAGAAAUCAACCGAGAUUCCCCCAGUAGCGGCGAGCGAACGGGGAGCAGCCCAGAGCCUGAAUCAGUGUGUGUGUUAGUGGAAGCGUCUGGAAAGGCGCGCGAUACAGGGUGACAGCCCCGUACACAAAAAUGCACAUGCUGUGAGCUCGAUGAGUAGGGCGGGACACGUGGUAUCCUGUCUGAAUAUGGGGGGACCAUCCUCCAAGGCUAAAUACUCCUGACUGACCGAUAGUGAACCAGUACCGUGAGGGAAAGGCGAAAAGAACCCCGGCGAGGGGAGUGAAAAAGAACCUGAAACCGUGUACGUACAAGCAGUGGGAGCACAGAGCAAUCUGUGUGACUGCGUACCUUUUGUAUAAUGGGUCAGCGACUUAUAUUCUGUAGCAAGGUUAACCGAAUAGGGGAGCCGAAGGGAAACCGAGUCUUAACUGGGCGUUAAGUUGCAGGGUAUAGACCCGAAACCCGGUGAUCUAGCCAUGGGCAGGUUGAAGGUUGGGUAACACUAACUGGAGGACCGAACCGACUAAUGUUGAAAAAUUAGCGGAUGACUUGUGGCUGGGGGUGAAAGGCCAAUCAAACCGGGAGAUAGCUGGUUCUCCCCGAAAGCUAUUUAGGUAGCGCCUCGUGAAUUCAUCUCCGGGGGUAGAGCACUGUUUCGGCAAGGGGGUCAUCCCGACUUACCAACCCGAUGCAAACUGCGAAUACCGGAGAAUGUUAUCACGGGAGACACACGGCGGGUGCUAACGUCCGUCGUGAAGAGGGAAACAACCCAGACCGCCAGCUAAGGUCCCAAAGUCAUGGUUAAGUGGGAAACGAUGUGGGAAGGCCCAGACAGCCAGGAUGUUGGCUUAGAAGCAGCCAUCAUUUAAAGAAAGCGUAAUAGCUCACUGGUCGAGUCGGCCUGCGCGGAAGAUGUAACGGGGCUAAACCAUGCACCGAAGCUGCGGCAGCGACGCUGAUGCGUUGUUGGGUAGGGGAGCGUUCUGUAAGCCUGCGAAGGUGUGCUGUGAGGCAUGCUGGAGGUAUCAGAAGUGCGAAUGCUGACAUAAGUAACGAUAAAGCGGGUGAAAAGCCCGCUCGCCGGAAGACCAAGGGUUCCUGUCCAACGUUAAUCGGGGCAGGGUGAGUCGACCCCUAAGGCGAGGCCGAAAGGCGUAGUCGAUGGGAAACAGGUUAAUAUUCCUGUACUUGGUGUUACUGCGAAGGGGGGACGGAGAAGGCUAUGUUGGCCGGGCGACGGUUGUCCCGGUUUAAGCGUGUAGGCUGGUUUUCCAGGCAAAUCCGGAAAAUCAAGGCUGAGGCGUGAUGACGAGGCACUACGGUGCUGAAGCAACAAAUGCCCUGCUUCCAGGAAAAGCCUCUAAGCAUCAGGUAACAUCAAAUCGUACCCCAAACCGACACAGGUGGUCAGGUAGAGAAUACCAAGGCGCUUGAGAGAACUCGGGUGAAGGAACUAGGCAAAAUGGUGCCGUAACUUCGGGAGAAGGCACGCUGAUAUGUAGGUGAAGUCCCUCGCGGAUGGAGCUGAAAUCAGUCGAAGAUACCAGCUGGCUGCAACUGUUUAUUAAAAACACAGCACUGUGCAAACACGAAAGUGGACGUAUACGGUGUGACGCCUGCCCGGUGCCGGAAGGUUAAUUGAUGGGGUCAGCGCAAGCGAAGCUCUUGAUCGAAGCCCCGGUAAACGGCGGCCGUAACUAUAACGGUCCUAAGGUAGCGAAAUUCCUUGUCGGGUAAGUUCCGACCUGCACGAAUGGCGUAAUGAUGGCCAGGCUGUCUCCACCCGAGACUCAGUGAAAUUGAACUCGCUGUGAAGAUGCAGUGUACCCGCGGCAAGACGGAAAGACCCCGUGAACCUUUACUAUAGCUUGACACUGAACAUUGAGCCUUGAUGUGUAGGAUAGGUGGGAGGCUUUGAAGUGUGGACGCCAGUCUGCAUGGAGCCGGCCUUGAAAUACCACCCUUUAAUGUUUGAUGUUCUAACGUUGACCCGUAAUCCGGGUUGCGGACAGUGUCUGGUGGGUAGUUUGACUGGGGCGGUCUCCUCCUAAAGAGUAACGGAGGAGCACGAAGGUUGGCUAAUCCUGGUCGGACAUCAGGAGGUUAGUGCAAUGGCAUAAGCCAGCUUGACUGCGAGCGUGACGGCGCGAGCAGGUGCGAAAGCAGGUCAUAGUGAUCCGGUGGUUCUGAAUGGAAGGGCCAUCGCUCAACGGAUAAAAGGUACUCCGGGGAUAACAGGCUGAUACCGCCCAAGAGUUCAUAUCGACGGCGGUGUUUGGCACCUCGAUGUCGGCUCAUCACAUCCUGGGGCUGAAGUAGGUCCCAAGGGUAUGGCUGUUCGCCAUUUAAAGUGGUACGCGAGCUGGGUUUAGAACGUCGUGAGACAGUUCGGUCCCUAUCUGCCGUGGGCGCUGGAGAACUGAGGGGGGCUGCUCCUAGUACGAGAGGACCGGAGUGGACGCAUCACUGGUGUUCGGGUUGUCAUGCCAAUGGCACUGCCCGGUAGCUAAAUGCGGAAGAGAUAAGUGCUGAAAGCAUCUAAGCACGAAACUUGCCCCGAGAUGAGUUCUCCCUGACUCCUUGAGAGUCCUGAAGGAACGUUGAAGACGACGACGUUGAUAGGCCGGGUGUGUAAGCGCAGCGAUGCGUUGAGCUAACCGGUACUAAUGAACCGUGAGGCUUAACCUUACAACGCCGAAGGUGUUU
RNAcentral lists this ribosomal RNA (2933 nucleotides) under Escherichia coli. RNAcentral's name for it is "bacterial LSU rRNA". It matches the Rfam family "Bacterial large subunit ribosomal RNA". The record is from RNAcentral. Lineage: Bacteria; Pseudomonadati; Pseudomonadota; Gammaproteobacteria; Enterobacterales; Enterobacteriaceae.